CCCCUCUCAGGGUCACACCUGGAGAGUUUCCAGUACUCUACCAGUCUCAGCUAAGAGAGGGAGAGGCAUACCAAGCAGAGGCAUACCCAUUCCAUUUCUUAGCUUGGGCAGUGGCUAGCAAAUGGAAGGCCAUCUGCUGCAAGU
Molecule: small nucleolar RNA, 144 nt
Organism: Tachyglossus aculeatus (Australian echidna)
Lineage: Eukaryota; Metazoa; Chordata; Mammalia; Monotremata; Tachyglossidae
Source: RefSeq, a predicted model, not a curated record